This 2687-nucleotide ribosomal RNA is filed under the name Hydnora esculenta. RNAcentral describes it as "23S ribosomal RNA". It matches the Rfam family "Bacterial large subunit ribosomal RNA". The record is from RNAcentral. Lineage: Eukaryota; Viridiplantae; Streptophyta; Magnoliopsida; Piperales; Hydnoraceae.
AAAAAACUAACCAUAUGCUUGUGACGAAUACCUAGGUACCUAUAAACGAAGAAGGGCGUUUACUACUAACGAAAUUUUCUGAUUAAAUUAUUAGAAAUUCCCGAAUAGAGUAAUCUUUAAAACUACUUGUUUUAUUUCAAGUAAGAGACAACCUGGAGAACUGAAACAUCUUAGUAUCCAGAGGAAAAUAGACAAAAAAUGUCAAUUCCCUUAGUAGUGGUGAGCGAAACGGGAAAUAGCCUAAAUCAUUUAAUUUAAAUUAAAUGAGGUUGUGGGUUUAAUAAAAAAUAAUAACUUUUUAAACCCAAGUAACAUGGGAAAUGUUUAUCCUGUGUGAAUCAGCAAGAACCACCUUGCAAGGCUAAAUAUUAAAAGGUAACCGAUAGUGAACAAGUACCGUGAGGGAAAGGUAAAAUAAAAUAUCUCUCCUAGCAGAGAGUAAAUAACAUGAAAUUGCAAGCUAUCAAAUUGUAGGAGGAGAAAAAAAAUAAUCUCUGACUGCGUGCUUGUUGAAGAAUGAGCCAGCGACUCAUAAGUAAUGGCUUAAGGUUAAGGUUAUAAUAACUGGAGCCAUAGCGAAAGCAAGUCUAAAAAAGGCAAAAAAAAAAGUCACUACUUAUGGACCCGAAACUGAGUGAUCUAUCCAUGAACAGGAUGAAGCUUAGAUAAAACUAAGUGGAGGUCCGAACCGAUUGAUGUUGCAAAAUCAACGGAUGAUUUGUGGUUAGCGGUGAAAUGCCAAUCGAACUUAGAGCUAGCUGGUUCCCCCUGAAAUGUAUUUAAGUACAGCGGUUGAUUUGAUUGAAAAAUAUUUCCAGGGGUAAAGCACUGUUUUGAUGCGGAAAUAAAAAAAAAAAGCCAAAUUAAAGCAAACUCUGAAUACUGGAUAAAAAAUUCAACUAGUGAGACAAUGUGGGAUAAGCUUCAUUGUUGAGAGGGAAACAGCCCAGAUCAUUAGUUAAGGCCCCAAAAUGAUUACUUAGUGGUGAAGGAGGUAAAAAUGCAAAGAUAAUCAGUAGGUUUGCCCAGAAGCAGCUAUCCUUAAAAGAGUGCGUAAUAGCUCACUGAUUGAUUUAUUAGAGCAGUUUUUGUACCGAAAAUGUACGGGGCUAAGUAAUCUGCCGAAACUGUGAGAUAUAUAUAUCGGUAAGGGGGCGUUCUGUAUUUAUUAUAUUUUGUAUACAGAAGUGAGAAUGUUGGCUUGAGUAACCUAAACAUUGGUGAGAAUCCAAUGCCCCGAAAACCUAAGGAUUCCUAUGCACGGUUUGUCCACAUAGGGUAAGUCAGGUCCUAAAAUUAGAUCGAAAGAUGCAGUUGAUGGAUUACCGGUUAAUAUUCCUGUACUAUUUCUUAUUUAUUAUAAUAUAUAAUUAUAAUGUGUAUUUCAUUAGGGACGAAGAAGGCUAAGUUAACUGAAAAUAUGGUUUUAUCAGUUCAAGGAUUCAAAUUAUUUAUGAUGAGAUCCAAGUAUCAAGCUUUAAUGCAGAAAUAAUGUAUGUCAUGCUUCCUGGAAAAGCUAAAAUAAAAAUGCAUAAAAUAAAGAAAUAUCUGUACCAUAAACUUACACAGGUGGGUAGGUAGAAUAUACCAAGGGGUUCGAGAUAACUCUUCUCUAAGGAACUCGGCAAAAUAACUUCGUAACUUCGGGAAAAGAAGUACCUAUGCAAAUAGGUUGCAGUGACUAGGCCCAGACGACUGUUUAACAAAAACACAGGUCUCCGCAAAGUCGUAAGACCAUGUAUGGGGGCUGACGCCUGCCCAGUGCUGGAAGGUUAAAGAAGUAGGUUAUCUGAUGUCAGAAAAAGCUUACAACUAAAGCCCCAGUAAACGGCGGCCGUAACUAUGACGGUCCUAAGGUAGCGAAAUUCCUUGUCGGGUAAGUUCCGACCUGCAUGAAAGGCGUAACGAUCUGGGUACUGUCUCAGAGAGAGACUCGGUGAAAUAAAAAUGUUUGUGAAGAUGCAAACUAUUUACACCUGGACAGAAAGACCCUCUGAAGCUUUACUGUUCCCUAUUAUUGAAUUUGUAUUUUUUCUGUGCAGUAAUAGGUGGGAGGUAAAAAUACCAUUAAUGAGAUACCACUCUGAUAAAAUCCAAAUCCUAACUCUACUAAAAAAAAGAAGGACAGUGUUAGGUAGACAGUUUAUAUGGGGCGUAGGCCUCCAAAAAAGUAACGGAGGCGUACAAAGGUUUUCUUAAACCAUUUUUUAAAAUUGGUUGUUAAGUGUAAAGGCAAAAGUAAGCUUAACUGUGAGACCUACUUGUCGAACAGAGACGAAAGUCGGUCUUAGUGAUCCGAUAAUACCGUGUGGAAGGGUUAUCGCUAAACGGAUAAAAGCUACUCGAGGGGUAACAGGCUGAUCUUCCCCAAGAGUUCACAUCGACGGGUAGGUUUGGCACCUCGAUGUCGGCUCGUCACUACCUGGAGCAGUAGCAUGUUCCAAGGGUUGGGCUGUUCGCCCAUUAAAGUGGUACGUGAGCUGGGUUCAGAACGUCGUGAGACAGUUCGGUCCAUAUCCGGUGUAAACGUUGAAGCAUUGAUGGUUGUCUUUCCCAGUACGAGAGGAUCGGAAAGGACGCACCUCUGGUUUACCAGUUAUCAUUCCCGUGGUAAAUGCUGGGUAGCUAUGUGUGGAGUGGAUAACUGCUGAAAGCAUAUAAGUAGGAAACCCAUCCAAAGAUGAGUG